This 2622-nucleotide long non-coding RNA is filed under the name Taeniopygia guttata (zebra finch). Its description in RNAcentral is "lncRNA (ENSTGUG00000026148.1)". Lineage: Eukaryota; Metazoa; Chordata; Aves; Passeriformes; Estrildidae. The record is from RNAcentral.
GGAGAAUACACAGGUGCAAUGAACCAUGGCUGUUUUAUGAAAUCAUGGACCUCCUGGGCCUAAUUCUCAAGUGCCAAGCAUAAGGCAUAUUGGCAUGAAAUGGCUUGUGAGAUCAAAAUUAGGACUCUCACACUGUUAUUAAGACAUUUUAACUGGAGUUACUUCUCAUCAGAAGUGGAGUAAAAUAAAAAACAAGGGCAAAAUGCUGCCUCAAGCAAAUAUCCUGAAAGAGAUGGGUUUCUUUUUCUACUUUAGGAAAGAAUGAGCUUAUUUCAAGGGUAGAUGAUGGAGAGUCAUCUUCUGAUUCAAGUGUUGGGCCCUCCACAAGAAGUUUCAGUCAAACUACCAUUUGCCAUAAGUGGCAUUUUGGCUUAAUGUCUGAAGAUUAAUCCACAGACUAGUGAUUACUGAAGUGCAAGGAAUUUGCUUUUAAGAAAACAUGCAUUCCUGUUCUCUUGCAGGUUUCCUUUGCUGCUCAUGCAGAACUUGCAUCCCAUUUCUGUGUAUCAUCCCUUUUCUACAAAAUCCAAUAUGAUUUUAUGCUCUUUUUUCAGCAAGCUUUUGCUGAACUUCUAUAUCCUUUCUCAGAAGGAGAGACAUUUAUUCCUUUAGUAGCAACAACCACAGCUGUUGCACAUUCUGAGAAAUGGUCAGAAUGCCUCUGAGGCGCAGCAUCCAGUCCCCUCUGCUUGUGUUCUAUUGCUGCAGCUUUAUUCUCCAUGCCUCUUAAUUGGUCUCUCUAGUUGUGCUGGUUGUAUCUCACACCACCCCCUCUUUUGCCUGGUUCUUUAUCAGACACCAUGACAGACCUGAAGUGUUUAUCCUCAAGCCUAACCUGAUAUGCUUCUGAUUGUUCAGAACAGAUGAACCAGAACUGCUGUUAGCAUUGCAGUGGUCCUAGAGGCUCCACAGAGAUCAGCUGUUUCCCACAGAAGUCAGCUCUCAGGACAGAGGAUGUUUUAAUCCGACUGUAAGGCCCUUGGAACCACACAUCAUGGGCAUAAUGCACAAUACAGGUUUAUAUGCUGCACAAACCAAUGCAAGAGCUUAGAAGCUUUUUGAAUACCUCUAGUAAAUACAUUUGAUUUAACCAGAAUCACCAGCCAAAACUGAAGAUGGGGAAAAGAAAACUCAGAACACCAGGACUUGCUAAAAAUCAGAAGGUAAUCAGACAGGCUGCAUUUAGAGUUGAAUCUCAGUGCACGUGUUUCCAAGCUACUAUCUUAUCUAUUAGCUUAAGUGUAAUCAUAGAUGUGUCAUUCUCAACUGUGUAUUUUUAUUUUCUGUUAACUAGUUAAGUCCCUUUUAUUGACCAACUGUUCCCUCAGUCAGGACAGCUGCACAGUUUGGAUGAAAGCCAGCCACAAGUGUAUCCCCACUAGAACUGUGGUAAUUAAAUCCAAAUAAUUAAGACAUUCACGAGUGGUGUGUGAAAUCUCUGGAAACCGGCAAUAAUUUUUUUUUGUGCAGGCUCAUGUCACAGUGGGUUGGAUGUGAGAGCUGCUGUGUGUUUCCACGUGUGUGCACAGCUGACUUCUGUGACUUUCCUACAGAGGAACAGAUCAAUAUGCAAAUGUCAGCUUCCUAAUUAAGCUCUAUUUUAAUGGGUUAUUAAACAAAUAAUCCCCUCCCACAAAAUAAACCUCAAAAAUAUUUUGAAGAUUUUUUUACUAAUUUCAACCAUUUUUUGAGACCAAAAGAAAAAUACUCUCAUGUUAACUUGUAUACAAAUCUUUCAGCAGACACAAUUUAAAUGCCAAGUUAUUACACCAUACUAAAGUAUUUAUACUGGAAAUUGUAUUUGACCCUUUUAAAGAGCUUCAGAUGCAUACCACACUCGGCUCAUGGUACUAUGGAUACACUUGAAAUGGCAGAAAUGUUUAAUUCUUCAACUUAGCUUAUGAAACUUCUGUAGAUUCAGUGUACUGGACUUUAGCCCAGUCUUUAAUAUUCAGUCUGAAGCCUUACAGGGAGCAUUCUGGAAAAUGCUUUUGGCAUUGACAGACUUUUUUCCUACCUGCCCAUAUUAGACCAGAGAAACACUGGCAAAAAGUAUGACUCAGUCAAUCUGAAGACUCCAGAGUAUAAGGAUGUUAGACACAAACAACCCAGUUGUGCUGUCAAAAGGAAGGGGGGAAAGCAAACCCUCAAUUCUCUGCAGUCCAGGUAUAAAUCAUAGAAGUUUUUGUCAGCAAACGGAGAGGUUGACUUCAUGAAUUACAGAGUAGCGAGACUCACUUAAAGUCUCUGUUCUAAGGUAUAACAACAUCCUCCACAUCAAUGAGGGUUAGGUGGUAGAUAAGGAGGAUUAAUCUCAGCCACAUAAAUAGGCAGAGCCUGGUUUUUCCUUCCAAGCACUUCCUAGAUUCCAAUACUAAUAUUCUAGUUGACAGAGCCUAUCUAGUGUUGUUAAUUAAAAUCAAGCUAUAGAAGAUGAUUUACUUAUUUCAUAAAACCAGCAGGAUUAACCUACUGCCAUGAUCUAAGUAAAGAAUAGUGAGCCAGAGACCAAAUCUUUCAUUUAAAAACAGGCAUUAGCCCAUAAACAUUCCAGUUCCAUUUCCUUAACCCAACUGCAAAAUCCCAAGAAGAGGAAAAAAAAAAAAAAAAAAAAAAAAAAAA